This 240-nucleotide unclassified non-coding RNA is filed under the name soil metagenome. RNAcentral describes it as "partial contains 5.8S ribosomal RNA, internal transcribed spacer 2, and large subunit ribosomal RNA". The record is from RNAcentral.
AACGCACGAGACCUGCGGACCUGCGGAGGGAUCAUUAAUGAGAAGCUGCUCCUCGUGGGUAGACCUCCCACCCUCUGUGAACUUACCUUUGUUGCUUUGGCAGGCCCGUCCUCUGGACCGCCGGCUUCGGCUGGCCCGUGCCUGCCAGAGGAUUCCAAACCCUGUCUGUCAGUGUUGUCUGAGUCUAUAUGAAAUCGUUAAAACUUUCAACAAUGGAUCUCUAGAUCGGAAGAGCACACG